CCUUAGUAGCGGCGAGCGAAACGGGAUUAGCCCAAACCAAGAGGCUUGCCUCUUGGGGUUGUAGGACACUCUACAUGGAGUUACAAAGGAACGGGGUAGAUGAAUAGGUCUGGAAAGGCCAGUCACAGAAGGUAAAAACCCUGUAGUCGAAACUUCGUUCCCUCCUGAGUGGAUCCUGAGUACGGCGGGACACGAGAAAUCCCGUCGGAAGCAGGGAGGACCAUCUCCCAAGGCUAAAUACUCCCUAGUGACCGAUAGCGAACCAGUACUGUGAGGGGAAGGUGAAAAGCACCCCGGAAGGGGAGUGAAAUAGAUCCUGAAACCGUGUGCCUACAAGUAGUUAGAGCCCAUUAAUGGGUGAUAGCGUGCCUUUUGUAGAAUGAACCGGCGAGUUACGAUUACAUGCAAGGUUAAGUUGAAGAGACGGAGCCGCAGCGAAAGCGAGUCUGAAUAGGGCGAUAGAGUAUGUGGUCGUAGACCCGAAACCAGGUGAUCUACCCAUGUCCAGGGUGAAGUCCAGGUAACACUGGAUGGAGGCCCGAACCCACGCACGUUGAAAAGUGCGGGGAUGAGGUGUGGGUAGCGGAGAAAUUCCAAUCGAACUUGGAGAUAGCUGGUUCUCUCCGAAAUAGCUUUAGGGCUAGCCUCAAGGUAAGAGUAUUGGAGGUAGAGCACUGUUUGGACUAGGGGCCCCCAUCGGGUUACCGAAUUCAGACAAACUCCGAAUGCCAAAUACUUAUCCUUGGGAGUCAGACUGCGAGUGAUAAGAUCCGUAGUCAAGAGGGAAACAGCCCAGACCACCAGCUAAGGUCCCAAAGUAUACGUUAAGUGGAAAAGGAUGUGGAGUUGCUUAGACAACCAGGA
Molecule: ribosomal RNA, 864 nt
Filed under: Bacteroides fragilis
Lineage: Bacteria; Pseudomonadati; Bacteroidota; Bacteroidia; Bacteroidales; Bacteroidaceae
Description: bacterial LSU rRNA
Rfam family: Bacterial large subunit ribosomal RNA
Source: RNAcentral